This 434-nucleotide ribosomal RNA is filed under the name uncultured organism. Its description in RNAcentral is "bacterial SSU rRNA". It matches the Rfam family "Bacterial small subunit ribosomal RNA", at positions 346 to 794 of the family's 1533-position model. The record is from RNAcentral.
GCGCAGCAGGCGAGAAUUUUUCACAAUGGGGGAAACCCUGAUGGAGCGACGCCGCGUGGAGGAUGAAGGCCUUUUGGUCGUAAACUCCUGUCAAACGGGAACAAGAAAGUGAUAGUACCGUUAGAGGAAGAGGCGGCUAACUCUGUGCCAGCAGCCGCGGUAAUACAGAGGCCUCAAGCGUUGUUCGGAUUCAUUGGGCGUAAAGGGUGCGUAGGUGGCUUGUUAAGUUGAAGGUGAAAUCUCGGGGCUCAACUCCGAAACUGCCUUCAAUACUGGCGAGCUCGAGGAUUGUAGAGGAGAAUGGAAUUCACGGUGUAGCAGUGAGAUGCGUAGAUAUCGUGAGGAAGACCAGUGGCGAAGGCGAUUCUCUGGGCAAUUCCUGACACUGAGGCACGAAGGCCAGGGGAGCAAACGGGAUUAGAUACCCCGGUAGU